Molecule: long non-coding RNA, 552 nt
Organism: Solenopsis invicta (red fire ant)
Lineage: Eukaryota; Metazoa; Arthropoda; Insecta; Hymenoptera; Formicidae
Exons: 3
Source: RefSeq, a predicted model, not a curated record
UUUACAUAAACUUACAAGUCUUUUCGUAGUUGGAUGAGAAUGUAGCACGCUUAUUCAUUUGCGAUUGUGAUGCCUUGGUUAAACUACCUUCGCAUCGUUGCUUUGAUUUAAUGUACGAACAUUUUGGUAGGGAUAUCGUGGAAAUUGUUUUUGGUGUAUUUUCUGCAAAAAUUAAAAUAAAAUUAAGAAUAGUAUCAUCAAUAAAAAUAUAUGAUUAAUUCAUGCAAAACAAUACCUAUUGUAUUAUUGAACUGGCAUCAGAAGUGUCAGACUCAUCGGAGGAGAGUUUUCUAGUUUUUUUCGACCGUUUGGAUGGUUCAUCAAAUGCAGCACGCAUAGCAUCAGUAUCAGCAUCCGAUGAGAUAUCCGCUGAUUUCUUCUCGAUUUUCCGAGCUUCUUGAAAAGAAUCUGUCAAACAUAAUGUAACACAUAUAUACAUAAAGUGUAACUCACCAAAUGGGCCAAUCAACUGUUUGUAUGGAGUUAAACUCCAUGUAUCGUUGGACUGUAUUUCCUUUGAUAUUGCUGUGGUGACAGUGAUACCUUUCGGUG